GCCAGGCGAGGUGAUGCAUGCCUGUAAUCCCAACAACUUAGGAGGCUGAAGCAGGAGGACCUCAAGUUCCAGUCCAAUUUGGAAAAUUUAGUGAGUCUCUGUCUCAA
This 107-nucleotide small RNA is filed under the name Marmota monax (woodchuck). The record is from RNAcentral. Lineage: Eukaryota; Metazoa; Chordata; Mammalia; Rodentia; Sciuridae.